GGAGGAGUGGCCGAGUGGUUUAUGGCGGCAGUCUUGAAAACUGUUGGGCGCGAGAGCGUCACGGGGGUUCGAAUCCCUCCUCCUCCGCCA
Molecule: transfer RNA, 90 nt
Filed under: bacterium
Lineage: Bacteria
Description: tRNA-Ser
Rfam family: tRNA
About the family: Transfer RNA (tRNA) molecules are approximately 80 nucleotides in length. Their secondary structure includes four short double-helical elements and three loops (D, anti-codon, and T loops).
Source: RNAcentral